UCUUUCGCGACUCUACCAUAACUGAAACUAGUGAGUCGGCAGGCUUUUCUUAUAGGAAGUGUAUUGUGUUCCUCCACAAAAAGGGAAGGCAGAGAGCUACUCAUAGGUGGGUCUUGAGGGAUGAUGGGAGGCUUAUUUUGUGACUGGCUAGGUUACGUCGACUUCAGAGCAUGGGGGAAAAUUUUCUUGGGGUUUUGUUUCGGUGGACUGAUUAUAGGCAUUAAGUAGGAUGUGCUGAAGGGUGGAGGUGAUAUGGUGGAUUCCGUUGUAGUCGAAGUGUGUGCUGAUGGGGGAAACAGAGGGGCUGCAAAGGCAUGCAAGUCCAGAUUGUCUUGCGAAUUAAGGUGAUGGGCAGGCUUACUUAGGCUAAGGAAAUUGGGAUGGGCUUUUGGAUGAGCAUCUCUCUUUCUAGGCCCAAGAUGUUUUGGUUAAAUAAAGGGGGGGUUGGGUUAGAGUGGCCCGAUUAAAAAAGAUAGAGUUUUGAGAGCUCUCACCUUGAUGGGCCGGGCAAGUGGGAGGCUUUUAUCUUAGCUUGAUGGGCCUUGAACUCCCUCAUUGUAGAAUAGACCUGUCUCCACUGAGACUUCCAUGGAGAGUUCCGUCUAGACGAAAGGAUUGCUGAGGAUGGGAUGGUUCUUUCAACUAUUUUAUCCGUUGGAGUCUUUUCUAUACUGAGCAUCUUUGAACUUGAUGAUGAGUUAAAAUUAAUUCCACGUACUGAGUUCGGCUAAUUGAAGCUAGAGCUGUUGUCAAUAGUGAAGAAAUUUAGUGUAGUUGGUACUUGAGUUAAUGCCCGAGUUUCACUGUAACUGGCUUGAUGGAGUGACCGAUUCGGAGUGAGUAUGGAGAAUGAGGCACUGAUUUCUGAGGAGGAUUCUAUUGAUGGGAAGAGUUGUUGCAGCUCUGGAGGAGAAGGUUGCACAGAUUUGGGAUGAUUAGAAUUUUUGUGUCUGGACUUGAGGCGUCCAAUAUGUGGAGUCUGGACUUUGCUCACCAUGUGCUUGAUAGAGGGCUUGUUGAGAGGUUGAGUUGGAGUACUCGGCUCUUAGCCAUGGCCCGAACUAUAAUCUCGUGAGGUCGAAGUCUUAGAAGCUACAGAAAAUAUGAGUGUGGCCUAGCCUUCCACAUGUAUAACAAAAAUCGGAUAGUCUUUCAUACUUCAAUGUAAUUUAUGUUAGUAGAUUUCCUUCCCUAGGAAGCAGAAGCCCUUGUUUCAAUGGGCUUGUGACAUUGGUUUCUACUUUUAUGCGGAUGAACUUUUUCCAUGCUACCCCAAAAAUGGGGUCUUCCUCCACCAUGAUCAGAUUGCCUAAAGCUUUCCCAAUAUCAGUUGCAUUUUCUAUUGUCAUGUAGUCAAGUGGCAGAAUUUGCACUUUAAAAGUAGAAUGCAGACUUAUUUUAGCUAGAGUUAGACUUGGGGGCCAAGGUUUUAGAAUCAGUAAGUGGCCAUUAAAGUUCCAUGGACCUUGAUUGUAAAUACGUUGCUUUUCUUGAGGAAUUUGAUUUGAUUUGAUUUUAUGAGA
Molecule: long non-coding RNA, 1523 nt
Organism: Carya illinoinensis
Lineage: Eukaryota; Viridiplantae; Streptophyta; Magnoliopsida; Fagales; Juglandaceae
Exons: 2
Source: RefSeq, a predicted model, not a curated record